UUCUAACAUCUUUUCCAGCUCACAAUUUUUUUAUUCCUGUGGGCAAAAAGACGCCCCAGCAGCUGGAAUUUGUUUAGCUCUCAAACACUGUUGCAAGUAUGGAGGCGGUUUGCAUGCCUUUUUUAUUUUUUAUUUUUGCGACUAAACCUCCACAUGAUCACACAAUAAAUAAAAAAAACUGAAACAGGCCUAUAUGAUCAAUUAGCCCCGUUGGAAGUCUGUCUGUGUUGCUGCUGAGGACCAGUUCAUUUUACAUGAUUUAUCCACCACGUCCCGUCCAUGUUGUACAGUACAGACAGUAUUUAACCACACCCCCUCUCGGCUGUCUCCAGUGCAGGCUAACCGGGCUCAUCCAAGUUCAAAGAAAUAGUGAUUUUCUCUGCUGAUUCUCGUCAGGCAGAGAGUUGGUGCAUACACACGACACUCAGGCAAACGGCGUAUAUUUGACAAUUAAUUCAUUGCACGAGGCUUUAGUGCUUCAUGCAGGCUGGAGAGCACUGACAUGUGUUUAACACUUGAGAGAAAAAUCAGGAUGAUCUCCCGGCAACGGAGGUUCUCCCAGACGUUAUGUGCAUGUGCACGCUUUAAAACAGGAAGAGGCUAAACGGCCCUCACGGCACCUCUUAAGGACUCUGUUUAGUGGUGGACUACGACAUCUGACUGAAGAUGAAAGAGAUGAGAAAGAUGAAAAUGGAAAUGUGUGUUGCAUAUUGUAGCUGUCUAGCAUAGAUGAAGAACAGUAGGAAGGCAGAAGAAUCCAUGUGCUUUCUCCUUUGUUUAGAGUGAUAAUAAUGUAAUGCUGUGUGCAAGUGUAUAUUCUCAGGAUGUAUUAAAUGUAAUCAGAACAGUCUAGACUAGAGAUGGUGGUCUCAGGAUUUGCUGAAGCUAUUGGUCUCUUGUUUCAAAUACAUCAGUCUGGAUGUUUUA
Dicentrarchus labrax (European seabass) is the source of this 927-nucleotide long non-coding RNA. RefSeq lists it as uncharacterized. The record is from RefSeq and is a predicted model, not a curated record. NCBI's taxonomy places the organism in Eukaryota, Metazoa, Chordata, Actinopteri, Moronidae. The transcript has 3 exons.